UCUGCCUGGCACAGGCCUGGGCACUCGGCAACUGUUCACCGAGUAAAGGAAGAAACCUGCCUCGAGGCCCUGGAGCUGGGUGUCACUCAGGCGGCUCUAGGGAACCAGUGCCCUGAUGCUUCUGGAAACCACAUGUUCCGGUCUCUGAAGGAGAACUUAGAUUUACAGUGUUCUCGUCCCACAUCAGACCACGUGUCCCUGUGCUGUGACCGCCCAAAGCCUUCUGCCCAGGAGGACAGCGGCUGACACCCACAUCCACCCUGAGGAAGGAGGUGGCUCAAGGCCUGAUGAGGGUGUUGACCUUGGCCAUGUCAAUGUCAUAGAGCUUCUUCACAGCCGGUUUGAUCG
This is a long non-coding RNA of Eptesicus fuscus (big brown bat), 348 nucleotides long. RefSeq lists it as uncharacterized. The record is from RefSeq and is a predicted model, not a curated record. The transcript has 3 exons. Lineage: Eukaryota; Metazoa; Chordata; Mammalia; Chiroptera; Vespertilionidae.